RNAcentral lists this unclassified non-coding RNA (253 nucleotides) under uncultured Gammaproteobacteria bacterium. RNAcentral's name for it is "contains 16S-23S intergenic spacer region". It matches the Rfam family "Bacterial small subunit ribosomal RNA", at positions 524 to 776 of the family's 1533-position model. The record is from RNAcentral. Lineage: Bacteria; Pseudomonadati; Pseudomonadota; Gammaproteobacteria.
UACGGAGGGUGCAAGCGUUAAUCGGAAUUACUGGGCGUAAAGCGCACGUAGGUGGUUGCUUAAGUCGGUUGUGAAAGCCCCGGGCUCAACCUGGGAAUUGCAGUCGAUACUGGGCAACUCGAGUUCGGAAGAGGGAAGUGGAAUUCCAGGUGUAGCGGUGAAAUGCGUAGAGAUCUGGAGGAAUACCGGUGGCGAAGGCGGCCCCCUGGACAAAGACUGACGCUGAGGCGCGAAAGCGUGGGGAGCAAACUCG